This 1390-nucleotide long non-coding RNA is filed under the name Heterocephalus glaber (naked mole-rat). Its description in RNAcentral is "lncRNA (ENSHGLG00100035171.1)". The record is from RNAcentral. Lineage: Eukaryota; Metazoa; Chordata; Mammalia; Rodentia; Bathyergidae.
GGUGCCUUAAAGGGCCAGCGCCUGAGAACCAGCGCAGGUGGAGCACAUGGGAAUGGGCCACGCGGCCGGCAGGGCCGGCUGGCGCUCUUGGGUGUUCGCGCCGGACCCGGGAAGGAGUAGUUAGGAGCACCCUCGACUCCCAGCAGCUAAAGAGUGGUCCUGAUCCGCUCCGAAGACGCGCCGACACCGCCUCCUGUCCGGUGCCCAGAGGGCCUGGCCCCCUCCAGGCCCCGCCCGGGUGACCUUGGGCCUGCCGCCUCACCUCCCGGGCUGGGGUUCGAUUCCGGGCCAGCCGGGAAGGCGAGCCUGACCCUAGGCGGCAGCGGGCGCCCCCCAAGUGGGAACAGAAUUGCCUGUCGCCCUCACCCUGGCCACGAACCCGAGUGUCUGAGAAAUGUGAAUUUUGUUUUUUUCUAAAGAACUGCUUUGGACAGAGUGGAACCAACACGCCAUUGGGAUUCCCCGAAGACAGAUUUUUUGCCCCGGCCCUGCCCCUUCCCGGCUCUGCCACAGUCCGUUCUAUCUCCGUGGACCUCCUUUUCUCCUUUGUAAAGUGAGGGAGCCUGGUGUGACAGUGGUGUCAAACUUUUGGUGGACAUUUAAUUCAACAAAUAUUUGCUUACUUCGUGCUGUGGAGGCCUGCAAGGUUCUAGGAAACGGAUUUGUCAACAAGCCCAACUAACAAAUAUCUAUCCUUGUGGAAAGUACAUUCUAUCCUAAGGUGGGGAAGGAGACAAUAAACAACUGCUAAACAAAGCUUUGUCCAGUAUCUAGGAAAACAGUAAUUACUGCGGUAAUAAGUUAAAUCAGACCAGCUAUUUUCGCGUGAGUGAUAAGGGAAAAUUUCCUUGAACCGAGACCCCAAACUAUUAUGAAUCAGCCAGUCUGGGAUUGGACCCAGAAAUCUGCGAGUCUCACAAGACCCCUCCGUGUUCAUGCACAGCAGUACAACAGGGGGUCCCACAGGUCACUGGAGCAGUCCUGGCCUCUGACAGGCUGCGUGCGAUCCACCUGCUCAAGACCCAACGGCCUGGAAUGUUGGCCAUCUCCAAAGCAGGGGUUAGAUACCCGACCUGAUGGAUGGAGGGCCAGUUGACUGAAAGUGCUUGGAAUUGCACCAGCCAGCAAGAGUGGGCUGCAGAAUUGGAACCAGGAGCGCUGGGGAAAGUACUGAUGGAGAUAACUGGACCUUGAGAUGCAUCAUUAGGUUAUUUGUUUGGGCCCCUUCUGUUUUGCUGAUAUGCAUUCACUGUUGAAUUGCACAAGAACUUCAGGAAAGAUCUAACAUCAACACUCCUCAAACUCUUCAAUGAAAUCGAGAGGGAAGGAGUACUCCCAAAAUCAUUCCUAGAAGCUAUCAUCACCCUGAUCCCAAAACCAGACAAGGAAC